Molecule: long non-coding RNA, 207 nt
Filed under: Capsicum annuum
Lineage: Eukaryota; Viridiplantae; Streptophyta; Magnoliopsida; Solanales; Solanaceae
Description: long non-coding RNA (CANN_LNC002078)
Source: RNAcentral
CAUUUUAACACGGGAUUUAGGUCCCAAAACAAUAUCUUUGCCUCAUAAUUCACAUUCCACUCAAAAUUAAAGGAAAUUCCUCUCAAGAACAAACCUUAGCACCUUCAACAUUCAAGUUUAAUUCUCAAGAAAUCCACCAAGAACCUUCACGAAUACUUUGAUUAAGGUAUGUUAGAUGUUUAUCCAUGGACCCUUUUCACUCAUGGA